AGAAAUCUAAGGCUUCUUUGGAAAUUGUGAACCAAGAAAUGGAUCUAAAAGAAAUUGCAACAUGAGUCUUGAAAUUAAAGUAUAAGCAAUAUACAACAUACUUGCCUUCAUUGGUGAUAAAUGAGAAGUGAGAAUCGAGAAAAGCACAAUAGUAAAAGCCAGAACAAACACAAGAAAUGUAAAGGGGAAAGAAGAAAGAGACAAAAUUGGUAUGCAUCAUGCAAAAGCAAGGUCAAUAAAUCAUUUCCAAAAUGGAAAUAAGUACAUACAAUUGCACCGAUUUGCAACAAUUUCUAUUUCAUAUCUCUAAGAUCAAGGCUUUCAUGCAUAAAUAUUUGUGCAGCCUUUUCUUUUAAUAAAUUAAACAACAACAACGACAACAACUUCAUUUUUUAUUUCUCAAACUAUAAAUUUCACCGGCAACAAUUUGGUGCUUUCAUGUAAUGUAAUUCACCAUCAACUAAUUCAGAGAUGAAUACAUUAAAAAUUCUGUGUAUUCUUUCAAUUAUGACAAAUGUUAUUUCCAAUAUGUAUGACUUUAGAAAAGAUGUACUAGUUGAAACAGAACAUUUGGCUAUCAAGUUGUUUCAAAUACCUCUUGAAUAUGCUUAGA
Molecule: unclassified non-coding RNA, 613 nt
Filed under: Hevea brasiliensis (rubber tree)
Lineage: Eukaryota; Viridiplantae; Streptophyta; Magnoliopsida; Malpighiales; Euphorbiaceae
Source: RNAcentral